UACGGAGGGAGCUAGCGUUGUUCGGAAUUACUGGGCGUAAAGCGCGCGUAGGCGGCUUUGUAAGUUAGAGGUGAAAGCCUGGAGCUCAACUCCAGAAUUGCCUUUAAGACUGCAUCGCUUGAAUCCGGGAGAGGUGAGUGGAAUUCCGAGUGUAGAGGUGAAAUUCGUAGAUAUUCGGAAGAACACCAAUGGCGAAGGCGGCUCACUGGACCGGCAUUGACGCUGAGGUGCGAAAGCGUGGGGAGCAAACAGG
Molecule: ribosomal RNA, 253 nt
Filed under: uncultured bacterium
Lineage: Bacteria
Description: partial 16S ribosomal RNA
Rfam family: Bacterial small subunit ribosomal RNA
Source: RNAcentral